RNAcentral lists this transfer RNA (74 nucleotides) under Candidatus Iainarchaeum sp. RNAcentral's name for it is "tRNA-Arg". It matches the Rfam family "tRNA". From Rfam's summary of the family: Transfer RNA (tRNA) molecules are approximately 80 nucleotides in length. Their secondary structure includes four short double-helical elements and three loops (D, anti-codon, and T loops). Further hydrogen bonds mediate the characteristic L-shaped molecular structure. tRNAs have two regions of fundamental functional importance: the anti-codon, which is responsible for specific mRNA codon recognition, and the 3' end, to which the tRNAs corresponding amino acid is attached (by aminoacyl-tRNA synthetases). tRNAs cope with the degeneracy of the genetic code in two manners: having more than one tRNA (with a specific anti-codon) for a particular amino acid; and 'wobble' base-pairing, i.e. permitting non-standard base-pairing at the 3rd anti-codon position. Lineage: Archaea; Nanobdellati; Candidatus Iainarchaeota; Candidatus Iainarchaeia; Candidatus Iainarchaeales; Candidatus Iainarchaeaceae. The record is from RNAcentral.
GGCCCCGUAGUAUAGCCUGGAUAGUAUGAGAGCUUCCGGAGCUUUUGACCUGGGUUCGAAUCCCAGCGGGGUCA